This 23-nucleotide small nuclear RNA is filed under the name Arabidopsis thaliana (thale cress). Its description in RNAcentral is "snRNA_17645". The record is from RNAcentral. Lineage: Eukaryota; Viridiplantae; Streptophyta; Magnoliopsida; Brassicales; Brassicaceae.
GGCAUUUUCGUGAUUUGUGCUAU